UACGUAGGGGGCAAGCGUUGUCCGGAUUUAUUGGGCGUAAAGAGCGUGUAGGCGGCCAGGUAGGUCCGUUGAAAACUCGAGGCUUAACCCCGAGCCUGCAGUGGAUACGGGCAGACUAGAGGUAGGUAGGGGAGAAUGGAAUUCCCGGUGUAGCGGUGAAAUGCGCAGAUAUCGGGAGGAACACCGGUGGCGAAGGCGGUUCUCUGGGCCUUACCUGACGCUGAGGAGCGAAAGCGUGGGGAGCGAACAGG
This 251-nucleotide ribosomal RNA is filed under the name uncultured bacterium. RNAcentral describes it as "partial 16S ribosomal RNA". It matches the Rfam family "Bacterial small subunit ribosomal RNA", at positions 524 to 776 of the family's 1533-position model. The record is from RNAcentral.